Molecule: ribosomal RNA, 301 nt
Filed under: uncultured bacterium
Lineage: Bacteria
Description: partial 16S ribosomal RNA
Rfam family: Bacterial small subunit ribosomal RNA
Source: RNAcentral
CAGUAGCCGCGGUAAUACGAAGGGGGCUAGCGUUGUUCGGAUUUACUGGGCGUAAAGGGCUCGCAGGCGGUUUCUUAAGUCUGAUGUGAAAGCCCCCGGCUCAACCGGGGAGGGUCAUUGGAAACUGGGAAACUUGAGUGCAGAAGAGGAGAGUGGAAUUCCACGUGUAGCGGUGAAAUGCGUAGAGAUGUGGAGGAACACCAGUGGCGAAGGCGACUCUCUGGUCUGUAACUGACGCUGAGGAGCGAAAGCGUGGGGAGCGAACAGGAUUAGAUACCCCUGUAGUCCCUGUCUCUUAUAC